UUUACAAACAAAUUUCUUGUUUAGUGAGGCACAUGCAAUGUAAGUGAAUGGGAUCAAAUUUUGAAGGCCAUAGGUCAAGCCAUCCAAAAAGCACCAGUAUGAACACAAAGAGGUCUGAGACCAUAUUCUUCCUUAAGUGGACCAAAAAAGGAUCUGAGUCCUCUUUCAGGUACAAGGACAGUGUGAACGUAAGGAGAACUGGGUCCUUUUUCACUGGGUUCACCUCUUGGUCCACUUAAAGGGGUCUGAGUUUGUUUCUUUUAAAGAGGACCCAAGUGUGAAAACACCCUUAGUCUUCAAAAUGUAUACAUGUUGUGUUAACUUGUAAAGAUUAUCUUGACAGACAAAACAUGUAAGAGUCACAACCCUUUGUUAAACACAGAGGUUAUUUUUUGUGAUUUUCCAAAAGUCUAUGGGAAAAAUGCAUUGGCUUUCUAUCGAGGGAACCCAUGCGCCACUAACUUCCGGGUUGGCCUACAAAAACAAGUCAUCCCUGAGGUACUCUAUGAUGCUGAAAAUUCAGCUUCGCCAUCACAGAAAUAAAUAUUUAAAAAAUAUUAGUUUUUUUUUUUUUUUUUAAUUGAAAUAGUUCACAGUAUUACUGUUUUAACUGUAUUUUUUGACCAAAUAGGUGAGCAUAAAAGACUUCUUUCAAAAGCAUUAUAAAAUCUUAUGUUUAAUAUUAGAUAUUCAGCAGAUAUAAGCUUAUAAUGCGGUUCAUUCAGUCUUUCGCAACUUUUAGCUUUAUAAUUGUGUGACCCAGUGGAAAAAGAAACAUACGCACACCACGAGAAGUUCACUAUAAAGCGAUUAAGAGUUUGUGUGCUGGAGUCAGUGCACGAUCUGGACAAUUCUUCUUCCUUCAGUUCUCUGCCAAAGUCAACUGGAAACCUGGACAUGUCUCAACAAUAAGCCAUGAAAGGACUUUUCAAAACAGAAGGAAAAAUGUAUUGAACGAGAAAAGGUCUACAGUAAAUUAAGGAUCAUUGGAAUCAUUAAAAGAAAUCUUAUGGGUCACGCUACUGAGCCUGCUAUCGAACGGUUAGAGGAAAUUGAUGGUCAUAAAGUGACUAUUAAUUUUCCAGAGUGAAUACAAGCAUGAAUACAAUGGGCCAGCGAAUAUCAAUCCAACUAUGAUCGGGCAGGCCAAAUAAUGAGAGAAGCAUGCGGUAAAUGAUGACGUCACAGAACCAACCAGCGAACCGGAACCACAUCGCCAUCUUGAGGCUGAACCACAGCACAACACAAACACAGAGUUCUGCUGAUUCAUUUAUAAAGGAUGUGAGAAUGACUUUCAACAAAAAACAGGUUAUUUCUCAUUGUACGCAAUGCUAAUGUAUACACUACUGUGCUAGAAGACUUAGUCUGUUAAUAGCAAUGGUUAAUGUGUAUGUAACUGCAACUCCAAUUGUGAUUUACGUCACGUGUUACUAUAGUGACUUCUGAAUGACUGGAACAUUGUUGGCCAGUAAGCAAAGGCUGGGGGAGAUAUCCUUUUUAGUUGCUAAAUCAAUUAAAAUGCUAUAAAAUUCACAGAGACAGUAUUAUUUGAAAGAUUUUAUUAAUUUAUAAUACAAGAUUUAGGGUUUUUUUUUUUUUUUUUACAUGUAAUAAUUUGUAGCUAAUUUUCAUAGCAGUGACAAUGAUAAACACUCUUGCAGUAAUUGGCCAAUCAAAAGAAGAUUGGAGACGGUUUCUGUGGUCGCUUUCCACAAAAGCCUCAUCCUCU
Molecule: long non-coding RNA, 1729 nt
Organism: Ctenopharyngodon idella (grass carp)
Lineage: Eukaryota; Metazoa; Chordata; Actinopteri; Cypriniformes; Xenocyprididae
Exons: 2
Source: RefSeq, a predicted model, not a curated record